This is a long non-coding RNA of Rhipicephalus microplus (southern cattle tick), 901 nucleotides long. Lineage: Eukaryota; Metazoa; Arthropoda; Arachnida; Ixodida; Ixodidae. The record is from RefSeq and is a predicted model, not a curated record.
AAAAUUGAGCAUGUCGUUGUUCUGUGGCUGAUGCAGCUCACUUCUAUAGAAGGCUUUCGAUGCGCCUCACCCACUUGCCCGAAAUAUUACUUCUCUCACUUGUAAUCGUGAAACCGGAAUUCACAGUGGCUGUCUUCCUUGCAACCCGGAGAAAUUGAGCGCACGACUACCAUGAACGCCUAUCCGAUAUUGGCCCUCCUAAUCCUGGGACAUCUGAGUCAAAUUCAAGCUGCUACUUUGAACAAGCCGUCAAAAAAUGGAAACGCCCUGAGAAAACAGCUGGUGGAAAAGAUUUUGGAUUCACUUGAGGACGAAUGUGAAGGCCGUGGCGAAGCUCUGAAGGCGCUGAAAAGAUCGCUUAGUGCAGUCAUCGACGAAACGGACGAACAGUCCAUCACUGUCGUGGCUAUUCUCAUUGCUGCUGGAAUCGCCGGUGGCAUCAUAGGUGGAGCCGCAGGCGGUGCUGCUACAUCUGCCUUGGGAAAAGCUAUCGGCAAAUAGGUCCGAUGAACCUUUGGAUCCCAACUAAUGUCAUGAGCUGGUUUGAUUUUACGUGAGUUCUGAAGGUUAAUAGACGACCACGUCUUAGCCUCUUCCACCAUAUUCUGUAACGAGGUGGGACUUUCAGUUCUCGAGGAAAGACGUGGACCAAUACAGAAGGCUGUGUAAUCUAGUAGAACCUCUCACAAAUCCACGUGACUUCAACUACCAUGUUUGCUUUCACACAACCAGCAUUCCUUCGCGCUGACUCGGCUGAUAAUAAUAAUGAGAAAAACUACUUUGACUUCGUAGUCACUUCGGGCAAAUGCACGAGCGAGCGUGUGAGUUUUUCGUUCUUACAACAUGUCACCACCUUCAUCUAUACUCCUGCUUCACUAAUUAAAAUAUUCAGUAUCGGCUG